This 380-nucleotide ribosomal RNA is filed under the name Caballeronia udeis. RNAcentral's name for it is "bacterial SSU rRNA". It matches the Rfam family "Bacterial small subunit ribosomal RNA", at positions 340 to 712 of the family's 1533-position model. Lineage: Bacteria; Pseudomonadati; Pseudomonadota; Betaproteobacteria; Burkholderiales; Burkholderiaceae. The record is from RNAcentral.
UACGGGAGGCAGCAGUGGGGAAUUUUGGACAAUGGGGGAAACCCUGAUCCAGCAAUGCCGCGUGUGUGAAGAAGGCCUUCGGGUUGUAAAGCACUUUUGUCCGGAAAGAAAACUUCUGCCCUAAUACGGCGGGAGGAUGACGGUACCGGAAGAAUAAGCACCGGCUAACUACGUGCCAGCAGCCGCGGUAAUACGUAGGGUGCGAGCGUUAAUCGGAAUUACUGGGCGUAAAGCGUGCGCAGGCGGUUCGUUAAGACAGAUGUGAAAUCCCCGGGCUUAACCUGGGAACUGCAUUUGUGACUGGCGAGCUAGAGUAUGGCAGAGGGGGGUAGAAUUCCACGUGUAGCAGUGAAAUGCGUAGAGAUGUGGAGGAAUACCGA